This 1313-nucleotide ribosomal RNA is filed under the name uncultured Omnitrophica bacterium. RNAcentral describes it as "bacterial SSU rRNA". It matches the Rfam family "Bacterial small subunit ribosomal RNA", at positions 90 to 1354 of the family's 1533-position model. The record is from RNAcentral. Lineage: Bacteria; Pseudomonadati; Candidatus Omnitrophota.
GGAUAGUGGCAAACGGGUGAGUAACACGUGGGUAAUUUGCCUCCAAAACUGGGACAACUUCUCGAAAGGGAAGCUAAUACCGGAUAAGCUCCAGAUGACGCAUGUUAUCGGGAGAAAAGAAGGCAUAUUUUGACCUCAAGUCAAGAGCUUUCGUUUGGAGAUAAGCCCGCGGCCUAUCAGCUUGUUGGUGAGGUAAUGGCUCACCAAGGCUUUUGACGGGUAGCUGGUCUGAGAGGAUGGUCAGCCACACUGGGACUGAGACACUGCCCAGACUCCUACGGGAGGCUGCAGUCGAGAAUCUUUUGCAAUGGGCGAAAGCCUGACAAUGCGACGCCGCGUGAGCGAUGAGGGCCUUCGGGUUGUAAAGCUCUGUCACAUAGGAUGAAUGCCGAGGGAUAAAUAGUCCUGAGGUUUGACAGUACUAUGAGAGGAAGCCACGGCUAACUCCGUGCCAGCAGCCGCGGUAAUACGGAGGUGGCAAGCGUUGUUCGGAUUUAUUGGGUGUAAAGGGCAUGUAGGCGGUUUUGUAAGUCAGAUGUGAAAUCCCUGGGCUUAACCGAGGAACUGCAUCUGAAACUGCAUAACUUGAGUACGGUAGAGGAGAGUGGAACUCCCGGUGUAAGGGUGAAAUCUGUAGAUAUCGGGAGGAACACCAGUGGCGAAGGCGACUCUCUGGCCCGAGACUGACGCUGAAAUGCGAAAGCUAGGGGAGCAAACAGGAUUAGAUACCCUGGUAGUCCUAGCCGUAAACGAUGGGCACUAGGUGUAGGGGGUUUAAUACCUUCUGUGCCGCAGUCAACACAUUAAGUGCCCCACCUGGGGAGUACGGCCGCAAGGUUGAAACUCAAAGGAAUUGACGGGGGCCCGCACAAGCGGUGGAGCAUGUGGUUUAAUUCGACGCUACGCGAAGAACCUUACCAGGGUUUGACAUGUAAGUGGUAGUGAACCGAAAGGGGAACGACCUCGCAAGAGGAGCUUACACAGGUGUUGCAUGGCUGUCGUCAGCUCGUGUCGUGAGAUGUUGGGUUAAGUCCCACAACGAGCGCAACCAUCGUCCUUAGUUGCUACUCUGCACUCAGCUUGCUGGGUAUGGGGGCACUCUAAGGAGACUGCCUCCGUAAGGGGGAGGAAGGUGGAGAUGACGUCAAGUCAGUAUGGCCCUUACGCCCUGGGCUACACACGUGCUACAAUGGCCUGUACAAAGGGUUGCUAAACCGUGAGGUGGAGCCAAUCCUCAAAGCAGGUCUCAGUUCAGAUUGAAGGCUGCAAUUCGCCUUCAUGAAGGCGGAAUCGCUAGUAACGGCAGAUCAGCA